This 497-nucleotide ribosomal RNA is filed under the name uncultured bacterium. RNAcentral's name for it is "partial 16S ribosomal RNA". It matches the Rfam family "Bacterial small subunit ribosomal RNA", at positions 28 to 507 of the family's 1533-position model. The record is from RNAcentral.
GAUGAACGCUGGCGGCGUGCCUAAUACAUGCAAGUCGAGCGAACAGACGAGGAGCUUGCUCCUCUGACGUUAGCGGCGGACGGGUGAGUAACACGUGGAUAACCUACCUCUAAGACUGGGAUAACUUCGGGAAACCGGAGCUAAUACCGGAUAAUAUAUUGAACCGCAUGGUUCAAUAGUGAAAGACGGUUUUGCUGUCACUUAUAGAUGGAUCCGCGCCGCAUUAGCUAGUUGGUAAGGUAACGGCUUACCAAGGCGACGAUGCGUAGCCGACCUGAGAGGGUGAUCGGCCACACUGGAACUGAGACACGGUCCAGACUCCUACGGGAGGCAGCAGUAGGGAAUCUUCCGCAAUGGGCGAAAGCCUGACGGAGCAACGCCGCGUGAGUGAUGAAGGUCUUCGGAUCGUAAAACUCUGUUAUUAGGGAAGAACAAAUGUGUAAGUAACUAUGCACGUCUUGACGGUACCAAAUCAGAAAGCCACGGCUAACUACGUG